ACCACAGGUAUGAAAUUUACGGCAUGUAAUGCCUUAAGAGAGAAUAUUAUGAAAAUGAUAUACAGGUGGUACAUAACCCCAGUCAAGCUUGCGAAAAUUUAUCACUUGCCCGAUAACAAAUGUUGGAAAUGUAAAGAAACUGAAGGUACAUUUUUUCACCUUUGGUGGACGUGCCCAAAGAUUAAGGUUUUCUGGGAAAUGAUAUAUAAUGAAUUAAAAAGGUAUUUAAGUAUACCUUUCCCAAGAAACCAGAGGCCUUUCUCCUGGGCAUAGUGGGCCAAAUGGUGUUAAAAAAGGAUAGAACUUUCUUUAUGUAUGCAACAACAGCAGCAAGAAUACUCAUCGCAAAGUAUUGGAAGACACAAGAACUUCCCACGCUGGAGGAAUGGCAGAUGAAACUUAUGGACUAUAUGGAAUUGGCGGAAAUGACUGGCAGAAUCCGUGACCAGGGAGAAGAGUCGAUGGAGGAAGAUUGGAAGAAAUUCAAAGACUAUCUUCAGAAACACUGCAAAAUUAAGGAAUGUUAGAGUGAUGUUGGAUUGAAAAUAAGUGGUUUCCAGCUGUACAGGUUAAAGCUAGGAUAGAUUAAGAUUAAAGAUUAAGAUUGGGAAAAAUUUAAAGGUAUAUGACAUUAAAAACAAGGAUUAUGUUUAUGUUAUAUAGUUUAAUAUUUUAUUAAAUUAAAGAUUGGGUUUAAAAAAGUGGAAAAGAAAUUGCUGGACAAAUAAUGUAGAUUGGAAUACAAAAGAGGGAGGUAUGAGGAAGUCCAGAAAAUAAGUAAUUUAAAAUUGGGAACGUAAAAGAGAGGUUGUUUUAAAUUGUUAUGUUGUGUGUUUUUAUUGUUAAAUUUUGUAUUGUGUUUUUUUGUGUGUGUGU
Non-coding RNA from Podarcis lilfordi (Lilford's wall lizard), 876 nucleotides. NCBI's taxonomy places the organism in Eukaryota, Metazoa, Chordata, Lepidosauria, Squamata, Lacertidae. The record is from the annotation of a GenBank genome assembly.